CCUAGCCCCAAAUCGAUUCCUCAUCCUGCCCGAUGCAAGUGCCCAGCAGCAAUGGCGAUGGCAGUUGAGCGAGCUGCGGUGAUGACGAUGACGGCGUAGAAAGGGCGGAGGGCGGUAGCUGCCGGCCGGGGUUCUGCCGUCUGCGGCAUUGCACGAGAUCGGCUGGCCGUGUCUGGUGGAAGCGACGUGCAGCCCUGCGGCGGCGGCGAGCUCGCGUGUGGUGAGAGCAGAUCCAGUGGCGACCUCCAUGCUGCUCCUGCUCCUGCUGGUGCUGACGACGAUGUAGCGGAUGGGCUGCAGCUGGCCGGCUCGAGCUGUCAUCGUGGACAGUGACCCCUCCACGGCGACUCCUCCACCGCCCUCUUUUCUUCUUUUCCUUUUUUUUCCUCUGUAAUUUUGUACACCUGAUUUAACCAUUUAUUGGAGUGGCCGACGACAGCAAUUUAGCAGC
RNAcentral lists this small RNA (451 nucleotides) under Oryza sativa Japonica Group (Japanese rice). RNAcentral's name for it is "sRNA Os01g0684400". Lineage: Eukaryota; Viridiplantae; Streptophyta; Magnoliopsida; Poales; Poaceae. The record is from RNAcentral.